UACAGAGGUCCCGAGCGUUGUUCGGAUUCACUGGGCGUAAAGGGUGCGUAGGUGGUGAGGUAAGUCGGAUGUGAAAUCUCCAGGCUCAACCUGGAAACGGCAUUGGAAACUACCUUGCUAGAGGUUUUGAGGGGGGACUGGAAUUCUCGGUGUAGCGGUGAAAUGCAUAGAUAUCGUCAAGAACACCGAUAGCGAAGGCAGCUUACUGGGCUGUAACUGACGCUGAUGCACGAAAGUGUGGGGAUCAAACAGG
Molecule: ribosomal RNA, 253 nt
Filed under: uncultured bacterium
Lineage: Bacteria
Description: partial 16S ribosomal RNA
Rfam family: Bacterial small subunit ribosomal RNA
Source: RNAcentral